Molecule: transfer RNA, 61 nt
Filed under: Docophoroides brevis
Lineage: Eukaryota; Metazoa; Arthropoda; Insecta; Psocodea; Philopteridae
Description: tRNA-Tyr
Source: RNAcentral
GAGGAAAUGGCUGAGACUAGGCAACAUACUGUAAAUAUGUGUACGAUUUAUUCUUUUCUCA